RNAcentral lists this ribosomal RNA (163 nucleotides) under uncultured bacterium. RNAcentral's name for it is "partial 16S ribosomal RNA". It matches the Rfam family "Bacterial small subunit ribosomal RNA", at positions 355 to 509 of the family's 1533-position model. The record is from RNAcentral.
UAGGGAAUUUUCGUCAAUGGGCGCAAGCCUGAACGAGCAAUGCCGCGUGAACGAGGAAGGUCUUCGGAUCGUAAAGUUCUGUUGAAGGGGAAAAAGAGCGGAGAGAGGAAAUGCUUUCUUGAUUGAUAUUACCCUUCGAGGAAGUCACGGCUAACUACGUGCC